CUGUUUUUUUAAAGCGAGUUUGACGUCUGUGUUGUGAAAAAUUUUUUGUGUAUUUUUUGUUUUGUUUAUAAUUUUAUAUAAACUUAAGUUUUAUUUGAAAUAUUGAAAUUGAAAAUUCAAACUAAAAUUCAAUUUGGAACUGAAGUUUGAGUACUUGCCAAAUUUCUCACGCAGUGGAGUGUACUACAAAGAGCACCUAAAUCAGAAAAAAUAAGUUGUUUCGAGACUUACUCAAUGAUAUGAAGACAAGACCGGAUAUAAAUUUUCAAUCAAAAAUCAAAAAUCAAAAGUUUUGGCAAAAUUAAAUCGAUGCAUUUUGAUGGUCGACAAGACUUACAUAAAAUGUGACAGUUAGUCGACUUCCUGGUGACAAAUAUUAUACUUCAGUUUUUCGUGGCGGCGCAGUGUACUACAAAGAGCACCUAAAUCAGAAAAAAUAAGUUGUUUCGAGACUUACUCAAUGAUAUGACGACAAGACCGGAUAUAAAUUUUCAAUCAAAAAUCUGAAUAUCUAUUUGCAACCAUUACUAAUAAAACAUUAAAAAAAAAUAUCUAUGUCACAAUUUGUACAUAAAAUAAGAAUUCAUGGUGCUUCCUUUAUUGGAUAUUUUAAUUAUCGUCGGGUAGGUUCUUUGUCUGAGAGUCCCUAUUGAAGCCAGAAACAAGAAAAACAAAACUGCACGAGUUAGUCAUGCAUGUCUAACUUUCUUGGUAGUAAACACUAGGAAUACAGCUAAAUAUUUGUUUGUGACAUUUGAUAUGUACCUUUAUGAAGUGUUUUUUUGAUAUUAUGCUAAUGUGAAUAGUUUUGACUAUUUUUGUUAGAAUAUUUUUGUAAUUUUUUUUGUUGUUGAUGUAAAGAAA
Molecule: non-coding RNA, 864 nt
Organism: Hydra vulgaris (swiftwater hydra)
Lineage: Eukaryota; Metazoa; Cnidaria; Hydrozoa; Anthoathecata; Hydridae
Source: RefSeq, a predicted model, not a curated record